GACGAACGCUGGCGGCGUGCUUAACACAUGCAAGUCGAACGGAAAGGCCCUGCUUUUGUGGGGUGCUCGAGUGGCGAACGGGUGAGUAACACGUGAGUAACCUGCCCUUGACUUUGGGAUAACUUCAGGAAACUGGGGCUAAUACCGGAUAGGAUCUCCUGCUGCAUGGUGGGGGUUGGAAAGUUUCGGCGGUUGGGGAUGGACUCGCGGCUUAUCAGCUUGUUGGUGGGGUAGUGGCUUACCAAGGCUUUGACGGGUAGCCGGCCUGAGAGGGUGACCGGCGACAAUGGGACUGAGAUACGGCCCAGAGUGCUACGGGAGGCAGCAGUGGGGAAUAUUGCACAAUGGGAGGAAGCCGGAGGCAGCAACGCCGCGUGCGGGAUGACGGCCUGCGGGGUGUAAAACGCUUUAGCCUGUGACGAAGCGGGAGUGACGGUAAUGGGUAAAGAAGCACCGGCUAACUACGUG
RNAcentral lists this ribosomal RNA (468 nucleotides) under uncultured bacterium. RNAcentral's name for it is "partial 16S ribosomal RNA". It matches the Rfam family "Bacterial small subunit ribosomal RNA", at positions 28 to 507 of the family's 1533-position model. The record is from RNAcentral.